GAACUUCCUUUAGGGGGCGAUUGGGCCCGACGUCGCAUGCUCCCGGCCGCCAUGGCGGCCGCGGGAAUUCGAUUUCCGGUUGAUCCUGCCAGAGGCCGCUGCUAUCCGGCUGGGACUAAGCCAUGCGAGUCAAGGGGCUUGUAUCCCUUCGGGGAUGCAAGCACCGGCGGACGGCUCAGUAACACGUGGACAACCUGCCCUCGGGUGGGGGAUAACCCCGGGAAACUGGGGCUAAUCCCCCAUAGGUGAUGGGUGCUGGAAUGCCCCAUCACCGAAAGCGCUCAGCGCCCGAGGAUGGGUCUGCGGCGGAUUAGGUAGUUGGCGGGGUAACGGCCCGCCAAGCCGAAGAUCCGUACGGGCCAUGAGAGUGGGAGCCCGGAGAUGGACCCUGAGACACGGGUCCAGGCCCUACGGGGCGCAGCAGGCGCGAAACCUCCGCAAUGCGGGAAACCGCGACGGGGCUAGCCGGAGUGCCGAUGCCUCGCAUCGGCUGUCGGGGAGCCUAAAAAGCUCCCCACAGCAAGGGCCGGGCAAGGCCGGUGGCAGCCGCCGCGGUAAUACCGGCGGCCCGAGUGGCGGCCACUAUUAUUGGGCCUAAAGCGUCCGUAGCCGGUCUGGCAAGUCCCCCGGGAAAUCUGGCGGCUUAACCGUCAGGCUGCCGGGGGAUACUGCCAGACUGGGGACCGGGAGAGGCCGGGGGUAUUCCCGGGGUAGGGGUGAAAUCCUGUAAUCCCGGGAGGACCACCUGUGGCGAAGGCGCCCGGCUGGAACGGGUCCGACGGUGAGGGACGAAGGCCUGGGGAGCGAACCGGAUUAGAUACCCGGGUAGUCCAGGCUGUAAACGAUGCGGGCUAGGUGUCGCGACAGCCACGAGCUGUCGCGGUGCCGGAGGGAAGCCGUUAAGCCCGCCGCCCUGGGAAGUACGGCCGCAAGGCUGAAACUUAAAGGAAUUGGCGGGGGAGCACUACAACGGGUGGAGCCCUGCGGUUUAAUUGGAUUUCAACGCCCGUGGAAAGCUUACCCGGGGGAGACAGCGGGAUGAAAGUUCGGGCCUGAAGACCCCUACCCAGACUAGCUGAGAGGGUUGGCUGCCAUGAACGCCGGUUCCAGUUCGUACUGUGCAAAGCCAAUUCUCCGGACUUAAC
Molecule: ribosomal RNA, 1145 nt
Filed under: Geoglobus sp. AF2T819
Lineage: Archaea; Methanobacteriati; Methanobacteriota; Archaeoglobi; Archaeoglobales; Archaeoglobaceae
Description: bacterial SSU rRNA
Rfam family: Archaeal small subunit ribosomal RNA
Source: RNAcentral